RNAcentral lists this long non-coding RNA (531 nucleotides) under Elaeis guineensis (African oil palm). Its description in RNAcentral is "long non-coding RNA (EGUI_LNC034839)". The record is from RNAcentral. Lineage: Eukaryota; Viridiplantae; Streptophyta; Magnoliopsida; Arecales; Arecaceae.
AGGCGGCGGCGGGGGACGGGAGAGGGUAGGAGGCGCUCGAGGAGCUUGAGCUUGGGGAGGAGAUUGGAGGGGACGUUGGUGGCGAGGACAGUAGGACGGCGGCGGAUGAAGGCGUGGAACUGGCGGGGGGAGAGGCCGGCGUGGCGACGGAGGAAGGCGAGGACGGCGUCAGGCUUGUCGGGGGUGGUGAUGUGGAGGAGGGAUUUGGAGGCGACGAGGGCCUUAUCCUUGGAGUAGCCCAGACGAUCCAUCAGGUACUCCACCAUGAAGGGUAGAGGAGAAGAGGAGGAGGUAGUCAUUUCGAUGGCGGCCGGUGAGGAAGAAUAGGAGGAAAGUAUGGAAGGAGGAGGAAAGGGAGGGAGGAGAGGUGGCCACCACCUUCGUUUUAUGGAUUGGAGGGUUAGGGUUUCGAGGGAUUGGAGGGAACCGGAGGGAAGGAGGCAGAGAAGAGGGAGGAUUCGGUGCGCGGAGGAGAGGGUGGCGAGGCGGGAGGGAGAUGGCCGGCGCGCAGGGAGGUGGGCUCGAUCAGCG